AAUGAAUGGAAAAGGUUGGAGGAGGCC
RNAcentral lists this non-coding RNA (27 nucleotides) under Bombyx mori (domestic silkworm). Lineage: Eukaryota; Metazoa; Arthropoda; Insecta; Lepidoptera; Bombycidae. The record is from RNAcentral.